This is a long non-coding RNA of Entelurus aequoreus (snake pipefish), 1930 nucleotides long. RefSeq lists it as uncharacterized. The transcript is spliced from 4 exons. The record is from RefSeq and is a predicted model, not a curated record. NCBI's taxonomy places the organism in Eukaryota, Metazoa, Chordata, Actinopteri, Syngnathiformes, Syngnathidae.
CAUAUUUGGUAUUUUUCCCAUGUUUUUUUUUAUUUUUAUAUUUUUUUUUUUACAAAAAGGGCAUAGAGUUUUUGUUAAGUCAUAUUGACAGAUAGACCUGAAGUUGAAUCACUGGUGUUAGGAAUAUUACCUUUUUAAGGCUCUAGUUACUUCACAUCAAAUAUUCUACUUUCAAAUUGUGUGUGGGGUGGAAAAUAUUCCAUAUUUGGUAUUUUUGGCAUGUUUUUAUAUUUUUAUUUUUUACAAAAAGGGCAUAGAGUUUUUGUUAAGUCAUAUUGACAGAUAUACCUAAAGUUGAAUCACUGGUGUUAGGAAUAUUACCCUUUUAAGGCUCUAGUUACUUCACAUAAAAUAUUCCAUAUUUGGUAUUUUUGCCAUGUUUUUUUUAAAUUUUAUUUUUUUUAAUAAAAAGGCAAUAAAAGAGUUUUUGUUAAGUCAUAUCGACAGAUAGACCUGAAGUUGAUCUAGAGAUUUAAGCGUUGAAUAAUAUUAAUAAUACAACUAAAAUAAACAAUAUUAUUUUUAAAAUUUUUAUGACUGAGACCCUUCCAAGUCAUUGCCACCACUUUUAAGGGGAGCCCUCAAGGAAAAAAAAAAAUCUAUAUGUUGUCGAAGUUAUAAAAGUUAAAUAUCAAAAUGCCCCCCGCAUGUUUUAGUUUCUCAGUGGAAAAAGUUUGGUAAAAAUGGGACUUUAUGCUUACUAAUUAAGUCCUUUAAAAGGAGGCACACCAAACAUUUUGGACCAGCUGUCAUAAACCACGUGACUCACCAGAUUGGUUGUCGUGAGUCACGUGACUAACACGAUUGGUUGUCGUGGGUCACGUGUCUUGCCCAGGAUAUGGCCUCCACACCGGCGGCGUGUCAGUUUCACAAAUUCCUCAGUCAAUUCACCAAAACGUCACCGUGGAGCUAUGGAGUCUGUUUAGCUGAUUGGAGAGCUAGCUUCCGCAGCGAGUGGGUCCAUGAUGAUGACUUCUGUUUUGUUUGAUCAGCCGUUUUACUGCCGUGUUACAGACACCGUUUGGAAACAAUUAAGACAACCAGUACCAGUGGCGUGCCAAAGAAAGAGAAGCCCAUCCAUCCAUUUGUCUCCCGUCCUAAUUAGCCGGGCCACGCUGACAGGAUGCUGACAGAGCACAUCAAACACACAGGCACUUUGGAGUGAAGGGAAGGCUGCUAGUGGACAGCAUGUGGAAGCUUGAAGGAGGGAUGUGAAGACGGGAGGAAUCAUGGAGGAAAGAAGAAGAUGGAAGUAGGAGUGGGUGUUGGAGGAGAUGGUGUGAUCAAACUACUUCUCUGCACACGUGAUUGUCGUCCUCCUGCAUCUUUACACCGCCAAUUUAAGAGUCACGCGGCUUUUACGACGCCAGAAAAGAACAUCUCGCCGCCAUAAAAGUCUCUGUGCACGUAAACGUGGCCGACGAAUCCGCAUCAAUAACACACGUCAUCCAUAGCAAUAUCAAUUGUAAUAAUAAUAUCAUCUUUCCAUAACUUGUAUUUCUUUUAUUAGUUUGGUUGAUUCUCUGCAUGGCGUGAGAAGAGGAAGUCAAAAUGAAGAAAUUGUGGAUGAGAGAGGAAAAGUCUCCUGGACAGUUUUUGGAUUUUUCAAAAAGGGACCGUAGUCAGACCAAUGUGGUUUGUAAAUGAUGCAAGGCAAGACCGCUAAUACCACACCACCUCAGCCGCGCUCACCCUUUAGAGCACAGCUGUAACUUCCUGCCACUAAACCUGCAGAAAAUAGUUUUUGUCAGGUUUCUCUGUAUGUUAUUUUUUCCACACUUUGCCCUAUUUUCUUACACUUUAUCAAGCAUUUCUUACAUAUUGCUAAUUAGUGCACCUUUGAUUUAACAACAACGUGUUCAAUUUGAUUUGACUAUUUUGUUGACAUUGAUUUAAACUACCUUAAAUUCUGUAAUACAAGCCCCAGUUU